RNAcentral lists this ribosomal RNA (468 nucleotides) under uncultured bacterium. RNAcentral describes it as "partial 16S ribosomal RNA". It matches the Rfam family "Bacterial small subunit ribosomal RNA", at positions 28 to 507 of the family's 1533-position model. The record is from RNAcentral.
GACGAACGCUGGCGGCGUGCUUAACACAUGCAAGUCGAACGGAAAGGCCCUGCUUUUGUGGGGUGCUCGAGUGGCGAACGGGUGAGUAACACGUGAGUAACCUGCCCUUGACUUUGGGAUAACUUCAGGAAACUGGGGCUAAUACCGGAUAGGAGCUCCUGCUGCAUGGUGGGGGUUGGAAAGUUUCGGCGGUUGGGGAUGGACUCGCGGCUUAUCAGCUUGUUGGUGGGGUAGUGGCUUACCAAGGCUUUGACGGGUAGCCGGCCUGAGAGGGUGACCGGCCACAUUGGGACUGAGAUACGGCCCAGACUCCUACGGGAGGCAGCAGUGGGGAAUAUUGCAAAAUGGGCGGAAGCCUGAUGCAGCAACGCCGCGUGCGGGAUGACGGCCUUAGGGUUGUAAACCGCUUUCGCCUGUGACGAAGCGUGAGUGACGGUAAUGGGUAAAGAAGCACCGGCUAACUACGUG